UGGGGAAUCUUGCACAAUGGGCGAAAGCCUGAUGCAGCAACGCCGCGUGGGGGAUGAAGCUUCUCGGAGUGUAAACCCCUUUCGACCCGGAAGAAUGUCCGCAAGGACUUGACGGUACGGGUAUAAGAAGCCCCGGCUAACUACGUGCCAGCAGCCGCGGUAAUACGUAGGGGGCCAGCGUUGCUCGGAAUUACUGGGCGUAAAGGGUCCGUAGGCGGUGUGGCAAGUCGGGAGUGAAAUCUCUGGGCUUAACCCAGAGGCUGCUUCCGAAACUGCCGUGCUAGAGUGUGAGAGAGGCGAGUGGAAUUGCGGGUGUAGCGGUGAAAUGCGUAGAUAUCCGCAGGAACAUCCGAGGCGAAAGCGGCUCGCUGGAUCACAACUGACGCUGAGGGACGAAAGCGUGGGGAUCAAACAGGAUUAGAUACCCUGGUAGUCCACGCCGUAAACGAUGAAUGCUAGCCGUUGGAUAGCUUGCUAUUCAGUGGCGCAGCUAACGCAUUAAGCAUUCCGCCUGGGGAGUACGGCCGCAAGGUUG
Molecule: ribosomal RNA, 535 nt
Filed under: uncultured bacterium
Lineage: Bacteria
Description: bacterial SSU rRNA
Rfam family: Bacterial small subunit ribosomal RNA
Source: RNAcentral